UGAAUACGAGAUGCUACGGCGUCGAAGCAGUGUAUGUCAGACUUCCAAGAAAAGCUCGCAAUGUCAUAAAUAAAGAAUGCCUGUACCAUAACCGACACAGGUGGGUAGGUAGAGUAUACUAAGGGGCGCGAGAUAACUCUCUCUAAGGAACUCGGCAAAAUAACUCCGUAACUUCGGGAGAAGGAGUGCCUUCUUUAAGAAGGUUGCAAUAACAAGAUCCAAGCAACUGUUUAUCAAAAACACAGGUCUCCGCUAAGUCGUAAGACGAUGUAUGGGGGCUGACGCCUGCCCAGUGCCAGAAGGUUAAAGAAGUUGGUUAGCUUUUGCGAAGCUGAUGACUGAAGCCCUGGUGAACGGCGGCCGUAACUAUAACGGUCCUAAGGUAGCGAAAUUCCUUGUCGGGUAAGUUCCGACCCGCACGAAAGGCGUAAUGAUUUGGAUACUGUCUCGGAGAGGGACUCGGUGAAAUAGACUUGUCUGUGAAGAUGCGGACUACCUGCACCGGGACAGAAAGACCCUAUGAAGCUUUACUGUAACUUGAAAUUGAAAUUGGACUUUAUUUGCGCAGUAUAGGUGGAAGGCGUUGAAAGUAAUCUUGCGGGAUUAGUGGAGCCAUCAGUGAGAUACCACUCCUAUAAUGUUAGAUUUCUAACUUUGGAUCAUGAUCUGGUCAAAGAACAGUUUCAGGCGGGCAGUUUGACUGGGGCGGUCGCCUCCCAAAUGGUAACGGAGGCGUACAAAGGUUUCCUCUGAACGGGUAGAAAUCGUAUCUAGAGUGUAAAGGCAUAAGGAAGCUUGACUGUGAGACCUACAAGUCGAGCAGGGACGAAAGUCGGUCUUAGUGAUCUGACGGUGCUGAGUGGAAAGGCCGUCACUCAACGGAUAAAAGUUACUCUAGGAUAACAGGCUGAUCUCCCCCAAGAGUUCACAUCGACGGGGAGGUUUGGCACCUCGAUGUCGGCUCAUCGCAUCCUGGGGCGGUAGUACGUCCCAAGGGUUGGGCUGUUCGCCCAUGAAAGCGGUACGCGAGCUGGGCUCAGAACGUCGUGAGACAGUUCGGUCCAUAUCCGGUGUAGGCGUUAGAAUACUGAGAGGAGCCUUCUUUAGUACGAGAGGACCGAGAAGGACAUACCUCUGGUGUACCAGUUAUCGUGCCAACGGUAAACGCUGGGUAGCUAUGUAUGGAGAGGAUAACCGCUGAAAGCAUCUAAGUGGGAAGCCCACCUCAAGAUGAGUA
RNAcentral lists this ribosomal RNA (1237 nucleotides) under metagenome. RNAcentral's name for it is "bacterial LSU rRNA". It matches the Rfam family "Bacterial large subunit ribosomal RNA", at positions 1564 to 2810 of the family's 2925-position model. The record is from RNAcentral.